ACCCGAACCCAAACAACAUUAAAUAAACUAAAUUAUUAAAUACUUAGGAACCCAUAACAAAAACAAAAUACACCACCUUAAACUAGAAUAAAAUUGCUAUCAGAUAGCUAUUUGGGUUUACAAAAAUAUUGAUUUAAGUAUCAAUAAAAUAAAAAAACUAAACGUCUUAAAUAUUUUUUCAGAUUCCCAUUUUUUUAAUUUCCCAUAGAACAAGAAAAAUAAAUCACAAUUUCAAGAAAUAAAGUUUAUAUGAUAAAUAAAACCCCCGUGUCCCACAUAGCCCCGGUCUCCCUAUAAUGUUCCACUAUUGGAAGACAUGCAAGUAGAUUUGACUGGGUUAGGGAAAGAACUCUAUUGCGGAGGAGAAACUGAUGAAACCCUAGCCAGAAGGAUUAAGUACAUGAGUCAACAAGAUUGGGUGUGCAAAUUUAGUAAACCGGACAUGUCACCCAACAGCAUUGAACCAUCAACCACUGUGUUGAGCCCUUACCUCAAAUUUGGCUGCUUGUUGACAGAGCGGUGCACGCUGCUGAGAUUGCGGACUUUAAAAAUAUGUUGUCAGAUAUAACCACCAUCGACGAAGUACGGAUGACGACCGCGUCCGAUAAAGUUAUUAAUGAUUUCUACAACAAGUACGUAUUUUUCCAUAUCGCAUUAAUGUAUACAAUGUAUCGAAUGAAGUCGAAUGGAUAUGCCAAAAUACAAUGUAUGCAGAACAGACGGAACUAGAUUUUCGAUUUCGUGUAUAAUUAAUUAAUUAAUUAGUGUGUUAGAUUCAAUUUUUCACUGGAAAGAUAUAU
Molecule: long non-coding RNA, 800 nt
Organism: Daphnia pulex (common water flea)
Lineage: Eukaryota; Metazoa; Arthropoda; Branchiopoda; Diplostraca; Daphniidae
Exons: 3
Source: RefSeq, a predicted model, not a curated record